Molecule: RNA transcript, 1512 nt
Organism: Pyrus x bretschneideri (Chinese white pear)
Lineage: Eukaryota; Viridiplantae; Streptophyta; Magnoliopsida; Rosales; Rosaceae
Gene name: putative GDP-L-fucose synthase 2
Exons: 4
Source: RefSeq, a predicted model, not a curated record
AAACCGCACAAUCCAUUCUGCGUGAAAGGACUUAAGUUGGGUUGGUUUGCCCAUUUUCGCAAGGACAAAGCAAUCCCAGUGCUCACCCGUUUACUAGUCUCUUCCCAGAUUUUCCUGCACUGCUGAAGCAAAUACAACAUGAGUGGCGCCAAUAACGAUGCCACUUCGCCUUCCUUCCUCUCCGACAAAUCGGCCAGGAUCUUCGUAGCCGGCCACCGCGGCCUCGUCGGCUCCGCCAUCGUCCGCAAGCUCCAAGCCCUAGGCUUCACCAACCUUGUCCUCCGCACCCACGCCGAGCUCGACCUCACCCGCCAAGCCGACGUCGAGUCCUUCUUCGCCGCCGAGAAACCCCGAUUCGUGAUCCUCGCUGCCGCUAAAGUCGGCGGCAUUCACGCCAACAACACCUACCCGGCGGAUUUCAUCGCCGUCAAUCUCCAGAUCCAGACCAACGUCAUCGAUGCCGCCUACCGAUUCGGAGUCAAGAAGCUCUUGUUCCUCGGCUCCUCCUGCAUUUACCCCAAAUUCGCUCCUCAGCCCAUCCCGGAGAACGCAUUGCUGACGGGCCCGCUCGAGCCCACGAACGAGUGGUACGCCAUUGCCAAGAUCGCCGGGAUCAAGAUGUGCCAGGCGUAUCGGAUUCAGUACAAUUGGGAUGCAAUUUCUGGGAUGCCCACCAAUUUGUACGGGCCGCAUGAUAACUUUCACCCCGAAAAUUCGCACGUUUUGCCGGCACUGAUGAGGCGGUUUCAUGAGGCAAAGGUGAAGCGUGCAGAGGAGGUGGUGGUGUGGGGGACCGGAAGCCCCUUGAGGGAGUUUUUGCAUGUCGAUGAUUUGGCGGAUGGGGUGGUGUUCAUGAUGGAGAGUUACAGUGGGUUGGAGCAUGUCAAUGUGGGGAGUGGCAAGGAAGUGACUAUCAAGGAGUUGGCUGAACUUGUCAAGGAGGUUGUUGGGUUCGAGGGACGGCUUGUCUGGGACUCUACUAAGCCGGAUGGAACUCCGAGGAAGCUCAUGGAUAGCUCGAAGCUCGCAGGCUUGGGAUGGACACCGAAGAUCUCGCUGAAAGACGGGCUUGUUGAUACUUAUAGCUGGUACUUGGAGAAUGUCAAGCAGUGAUAAUGCAGGUUCAUAGAUUAGAACUCACCACUUGAAAUGUCUCUAGCAAUUUUCCGAGUUGGUGUGCAUGUUGCUCUUCAUCAUUCACUCCAUCAAGCAUUAUGUACUCAAUGAAGAUUUUCUGCUGACUAAAGAAUCAGAUUGAAGGGCAAUAUGUAUCCAUAAGCUUUACUAAAGGAAAAGCCCGAGCCGCAGGCAUUAUCUGACAACGAAUUUCUUGGACUGGAGCAUGAAGUGAAACUGCUAAGUUCAGACCUGGAAGAUCACUAUGAAGCUUUUUGAUAGCAUGAAUAAUGCCGACCUACAGAAGAUUAGAUGAACAACUGAUAGACCAGUAAGCCAAAUGCUUGUAGCAAUUGCGAACUACAUCAUUACUAAUGCAACUAUGAUUGACCCCCA